This is a long non-coding RNA of Dreissena polymorpha, 859 nucleotides long. RefSeq lists it as uncharacterized. The transcript is spliced from 3 exons. The record is from RefSeq and is a predicted model, not a curated record. Lineage: Eukaryota; Metazoa; Mollusca; Bivalvia; Myida; Dreissenidae.
UUCUCACACCUUAAUUUGAAUGUUUUCUACUAUUCCUAAUUCAUGGCCCCCUUUAAACCCCUUUAUUUGGUCCCAAACUCGCUUUUAAACAUGUGACAGUCAGUCACAGUCCGUUUGCAUUGUUGGCUGGAGUUGACUCGUAGAAGUAGACCGGAAGUUUUCGUUUUUUCAAUUAGACCAACCUAUUUUUUCUAUUAGGUUGCUGGUUGUAUCCCUUAGACUACUUUUUCAUAUUUUUUCAAUUAUAUGCAAUUAAUUGCUGAAUGUGAAGAUCAUGAAGAAUAAACUGCUGGCACAUAUGAAUUGUAAAUAAGUUAACCUAUUUAUGUGUUUGAAUGUUAAAAGAGUUAUUUUAAAAGAAUAUUUAUAAGUUGGAGCUCUAAGGAGGGGUGACACUUUACUCUGUUUGUGUGGUGAUAAGGAAGAAAAAACGAAUAAAAAUACAAAUGCAUAAACUUAUUGUAAAUAAGUUUAUAUAUUUUGACUGUUAUAAAAAAAAUUAAAGAAUAUUUCCAAGUUAAAAAAAAAAUACAGACAAACUAACAAAUAGCAGUUGCUUGACCUAACUACACCAUAAGUUUGAGUAAUUUCCCUUUGAAUGACGUCACCGGAAUUAGGUCCUCUCUAAAAAAUGGCAGACAGCUUCGACCAGGGCUACUUUACGAAGCCGAAUCUUAUUUAUUUAAGCACAUAUUUGCCAAAUUCGGUUUGGUAAAUGUAAAUAGAGGAUUUUUCCAUCAAGGCCGAAAAUGCGACAAAAACAGAAAAAACAGUCAGAAUGUAGAACCUGAAGCGGCAUACCUUUGACAUGAUGAUGGCAGCAUAUAAAGCAAUUGAUAAUAUAAUUGGUUAUAAAUCU